AACUUUUUGGAAUACAGUAAUGAGAAACAGAACUUCAAUGUGAAUGAGCCUCUUAGAAAGUGAAACUCUUAAUUGUGAAAGAAAUUGAAAAGUAAGAAAGAAAUUUCAACAAACAGGGUGAAUGGCAAACCAAGCUUGGAUGAAAGUGAGAACUAGAGCAAGAAGUGCAGCAAAGAAAGCAAUGAUUGACCAAGGGUUGCUGAAAUAUGUAUGAUAACCAAGAGCAAGCCAUGCCCUGUAUCUCUUCCUGUAAUGCUUUUCAAUUUUCCGUCUAACACCUAAAUAGCUCUCACUGUUAGGCACCAAGUCAGCGCUUAUGGUGUUGAAGAGCUUCGCCACUUCCUCAUCACUCCCAAGUUCAUUGCGCAGAACCUUCGCUGAUCUCAGCUCCUUCACAUCCUCAGGGUGGUCGAUCAGCGAGUCCAUGAAAGCCACAAAGGAACUAAUCUCGAAGUUGUUCUGAAAAUCUGGACACAUCUCAUACGCUAUCAGGUUGUGAAAAGUAGGAGCUGUUGUGUCAUCAACUGUGAUCUCUGGCAGUGUCAGUUCAGCACGCAACCACAUCCAGCGAUAANAGAAGGAGAUGUCACUCAGCUUCCGUGACUUUUUCACCUUCAGUUUAAUCCCUGCAGCUCUCAGCUCCUCUAUGUUCCUGUAUGUCAUCAUGUCCAAAUCAUCAUCUUUUUUCUUGUCCCUUUCCCCGUUUUCUGCGUCACCUUUCUUAUGUUGGGCUUCCUUUUUAGCGUCACCGACGAUGUACCUGCGAAGCUGAUCGAGAAGAUGAAAAGGUGACUCCUUUCUUAUGUCUAUUCUGUGUUCUUGACAAAGGGAGUCUUCAUUCCUAACAUAAACACUUGGGUCCCCAUCUUCAUCCGAUACUCUGAAAAAAAAAGAUACAGUAUUUGAAAUACAAACUACGAGGGACUUGAGACUGAAAGUUAGUAUUUAUACCUGUCUUCGUUUUUCUUAAACUUGGUCGUGCCAUGAAUUUUUUCUCUUUGCUUUGGUGACAAAUGAUGGCACUUAAGAAACUUGUUCAUGCUGUUUAUCAGUGUGUCAUCAUUCUGGUGGCCUGACAAGAGUUUAAGCACUUCAUAGGGAAGCUGAUUCUCUAGCAAAAGCACAUCCUGCCACACAAGAACCAGUUGGUCAACCUUAACAUUCAAGUCUUCGGGACGACUGAGGUUUCCCUUGUCCAGGAUUUGAAGCAGAGAACAUCCGUCCACAAAUAGCAUCCGCGAGAGCUUUUCAUCAUCACCACCGAAGUCUCUGAUAACAUCCUCAGCAUACCGUUCUUUCAAUUGGUUGACGUGUAUUGCAAACUUUUCAUACAGAGUUUCAGCAUCUUGCUGGGUGCUUUCAAGGUACUUUGCUGCCCACAUAAGCUUGUAUUUUUCCCCCAGUUUCAGAUUCGGUUCUCCAUGAUGGAUUGGACCAAUAGAAAUCAACCUGGGGGAGUAAUGCUUCUUCGAAUGCUUUCGAUCUCGGAGAUAAUGUGCUACCUUUUGUAUCUUUGGAACUGUAUUUUGUGGUGUCUCCUUUGCCUUUUUUAGUUCAUGAAAGUUCUGGUUGAGGUAUGGUGUCUCACUCAUGUUAACUGUGCAAUAAUGCUAUAUUUUCAAGGAUUGGUUUGGUGGGUAUAUUUGUGAGUGUUCUAGACAAGUGAAGUUGUUCAUGUUAUUGCAGUUUAAAUUGUAAAAAAUUUACGAGUAAACGAAUCAUAUGAUACACGGAGACCAUUCAUGUAUUAAAUAAGUUACUUAUUUUAAUAUGCUGAUAAAUUUAUUUUAAAAAUAAUAAGAUAUUAUUAUACAUUAUACAUAUACAUGUUGAAAAGUUUGUAAAAAUUCUAAAUAAUAUGAUAAAUAUUGAAUUGUUGUUGUGUGAAUCUAAAUUAAAAUCAUAUAUACAUAAAGAUAGUACUUGAUGCUUUUGUGGAUAUGAUUCUUGGGGUGAAGAAGGAGACAUAGUACUUUAUGCUUUUAGCUUUGUGAAUGUUUGAAGUUUGGAAUGGAUAGUGAGAAAUAGCGUUGAAAAGGGCAUGUAGAAGUGGAUUCAUUGUGCUUUGCUAGUAUUUCAAGUAUGAAUAGAUUCCUGCUGAUAAUUGUUGGUAGGUAAGUAGAAUCACGUUUUUCAUUCAUGAGGCCUUAAUUUGCUUAUAAUUUCCUAUUUUGGAUUCCAUAAGUGAUACUAAAUGUAGUGCUUAUACAAGAUAAAUGAUACUUUGUAUAUAAAUUUUUUUAUAUUUAUUUGAUAUUAUUUUUUUAUUUUUUACUUUUUUUUUAAAAAAAAAUAUAAAAAAAUCACUUUUUUAUAAUUAUUUUACCUAUAAGAUAAGUCAAAUAAAUAUAAAAAUAUAUCAUCUUUCCGUUACACAAAUAAAUUAGAUACAGGUUAUAUACAAAUUAGAAUAUUUUAGAAUACAGAGAUAUAUAUACCUGUUUUCAGGUAAAACUAGUAUGUGGGGAUACUUUUCUUGUUUCUGUUUUUUAGUAAAAAUGAAAAUUAUUAUUUUAUAUAAAUUUGUCAGUAAUAAAAAAUAGAAUAUAAUAUAAUAGUAAUAAAUAGUGUUUAAGGAAUUAUAAUUUAGAGAAUAUGUAUAUUUCUCAAAACAAUAUUGUUAUUUAUUAAAUAUUUUGAAUAUCAAUUUUUUAUAUAAUUUAAAUUAGAUCGUAAGAAUAUUGAAUAGAUUAUAUUUUUAAUAAUAUAUAUAGGUUGUUUUGUUAAAAUAUAGUGUUAGAGUUUGAUAAAAAAGAAAGUAUAAAAGCAUUAGUUUGAGUAGAAACAUGUUCAAAUGUUAUGUAGAUAGUGGAGUCUAACUAUGAUCCACAUGAAUUUUAAUUUUCAAUGGAGAAAAGUCUAAUUGAAUAUAACGUUAGAUGUUUUUUCAUAGUAUGUUUCUUUAAUCUCUAUUAAAAUUUACCAGCUCUAUUAUUUUUAUAAGUAAAUUUAAAACACCGAUUUUUGUGUUUUCAGUAUUUACAUUAUGAGUUUGUUUAAAAGCUUUUAGUGAAGAGACGUAAGCGGUAUAUUCUUCAAAUGCUAAUGGAUUAUGUUAAAUCGAUGCGAAAAACUAAAAUUGAGUGUUAAAGAGUUUUAUUGUGAUAAUGGAUUAAAGAUAGGAAUUGUUAUCCACUUGGCUAUUAAUAAAGAUUUAGUAAAAUUUAGUAUAGAUGUUAGAUUUGAGAUUUUCUCUUUUAUCAUGAUAGAGAAAUAUUUGUUUUAUGAGGUCAUCAUCUUCAUUUUUCUACAAUCUAGAACAUUUAAAUAUUAGUUUUAAUGAUAUUAUAUAUCAUUUGUAUUCCAUGCUUAUACAUUCUUAAACCGACUAUAACACUUCAAAUUAUGGGAUGCCACAAAUUUACAAAAAUUCGAUGAAUUUUAAAAUUUUAUCAUAGGGCAAAAGUGUAUUUUUCAAAAAUCUUAACUUUUUAACAUGUUUAAAAUAUAAUAGUUUCAAAAAUAUUGUCUAAUUACAUUAUUUCAAAAGUAAUUAAAAUAACUAAGGAAAUAAAACAAUUAUAAAUACUUUGUUUCAAAAGACUAUACCAAAAGAACUUUUUAAAUAAACCUGAAUCUUUUCCCGUCAUCUCACGAAUCUAUCUUGCUUCUGGAACAUCUGCAAUGUCAUCUGCUCACGUAUAACACAUUAUACAAUCAUCGUCGAUAAUUUCAUUCACAAAUACAAACAUGUAUGUGGUAAGCUACCGAUAAAACAAUCAUAACAACAAGAUACAUAAAUACUCAUUAUAUCAACUAUAAUCAAACACAAAACAAGAUACAUACAUUCUGAUUAUAUCAACCAUAAUCAAACACACAUCAAGAUACAUACAUUCUGAUUAUAUCAACCAUAAAAAAAAUACAACAAGAUACAUACCUUUUGAUUAUAUCAACCAUAAUCAUGUUGGAGUGCAAACAAAGUCCCACAUUGAGUGAAAGAAGGGCUGGUCAAGGGUUUAUAUACACAUAGAUACCUCCAAUGGUAAGAGGCUUUUUAGAGUGGUACCAAAAAUAAAUCCGUGAGGGUUUGGCCCAAAGCGGACAAUGUCUUACCAUGUGUGAAGAUCUAUGUGUGUCGAACCUCCCCCCAACAAAUCAAAUACCCCAUACAUGGAAGUAAUAACAAUAGGAUUUUAUAUCCUCAUGCAUCAUCGACCCACGAUAAAAUAACUACAAUUUUUUGACAAAGAAAGACUUGAUACAUGAGACGAGAACCAAAGUACAAUGGAAAAUUCUACAUAAACGAAAAACAUAAUCAGAAUAGUUAAUGCAAAAAAAAAGAAUAGCUUGAAUGGAGAGAAAACAAAACAAAUAAUGUUAUUCACUUGUAGGAUUGCAAAAAAUUACAUAAAGAACAAAGAGAAGUUAUCUUUAUAAAGACAGAAAAAAUUGAAAACCAUGCUUGAGGGAGAAGAGCAAACCACUUUGCUCUUUCUUUUCUCCACCUGCAAAUCUAAAACAAGAGUAGGAAAGGGUUUCAGCACCGAUUAUUUUGGAUAUUGUACUUCAAUUCAACAACUGAUGACUAAUUUUCCAUUUCGGUUAUUCUAGAAUUGCAACAUAAAUCCAUAAUGGAAAAUAGAAAUAAAAUGGGGAUUAGGCUUUGCGUUCUUCAACAGUGAAUGAUGUUUGACAGUGGUGGAUGCUUCACGUUCAAAAGUGCAUCUGUGGUUCGCCUUCACAAUGCAAGAAUGAUUGAUGUUCGAUAAAGAAGCAAAGUGAAUUAACAAAUGAAGUAGAAAAAAAAAAUAGAUCUUCGCGUACCCAGUAGUUCAAGAAUUAAAUGCAAUGGUACCUUGUUUAUAGAGGCUUCAUGUUCGAACAUUGAAGCCUAUUACUCUUGUACAGUUAAAAUACAGGAAUAGACUUAGAUUCUACUAAUAAUUUAUGUUUUAAAACAUUUAAAACCAAAAAUUUUCAUUACCGGGUAUCAAUAUCUUCUACUCUUGUACAGUGCAUGCAUUAUUAUAGGACUUUUUUCAUUACAUAUUUUAUCAUGACAUUUGUGGAGCUUUCUUUGUAUAUUCAUUCUCAAAUAUAUACACUUUGCAGCAGUUUCAGCAAAAAGAAUAUUAUUUGAUAAUGACAUGUUAAAAAUAGAAAUGCAUGAUUGAUAAAUUUUAAUAUCAACUUUUUCAGAUAGUUUAAUAAGAAACAGAGUUUUAUUGUGAGCUUCUACAAAUACUUAAUUAUGAUUAGAAAAUAUUAGGAAACACAUAACGAAAUGUUGUGGGAGAGAUUGAAAAGUAAGUAAGAAAUUUCAGCAUUUAGGGUGAAUGGCAAACCAAGCUUGGAUGAAAGAGAGAGCUAGGGCAAAAAGGGCAACAAGAAAAACAAUGAAUGCCCAAGGGUUACGUAAAAUAAGUAUGAUAAGCAAGAGCAAACCAUGUCCUGUAUUUCUUAUGAUGGUUUUCAAUUUGUCCUCUAACAAUUGAAUAGAAGGCACAGUUGGGCACCAAGUCAGCGCUUAUGGUGUUGAAGAGCUUUGCCACUUCCUCAUCACUCCCAAGUUCAUGGCGAAGAACCUCUGCUAAUCUCAGCUCCUUCACAUCCUCAGGAUGGUUAAUAAGCGAGACCAUGAAAGCCACAAAGGAACUAAUCUCGAAGUCGUUCUGAAAAUCUGGACACAUCUCAUACGCUAUCAGGUUGUGAAAAGUAGGAGCUGUUGUGUCAUCAACUGUGAUCUCUGGCAGUGUCAGUUCAGCACGCAACCACAUCCAGCGAUAANNGAAG
RNAcentral lists this long non-coding RNA (5733 nucleotides) under Vigna radiata. RNAcentral's name for it is "long non-coding RNA (VRAD_LNC006410)". Lineage: Eukaryota; Viridiplantae; Streptophyta; Magnoliopsida; Fabales; Fabaceae. The record is from RNAcentral.